Melanotaenia boesemani (Boeseman's rainbowfish) is the source of this 520-nucleotide long non-coding RNA. RefSeq lists it as uncharacterized. The transcript is spliced from 3 exons. Lineage: Eukaryota; Metazoa; Chordata; Actinopteri; Atheriniformes; Melanotaeniidae. The record is from RefSeq and is a predicted model, not a curated record.
UCCUAAUAAGGAGUCUCCCUCUGACAGCUUUGAAGUCCAACGUCUCUGGGAAACAGACAACAGUUCUCACAAUUUGGAUUAAGAUCAUUCAAGAAAUUUGACUUCAUGAAUCCUUUGUCAUCUGACAAGUGUCUCCACAUCCAUUUGCUAUCCUCCCGUGAGAGUGUUCAGUGUCCUUCACCAAGAGUUCAGGAAAAGGGAGUCAUCUGCUAGUGUCAGGUUUCCAACCUACCCAUCUGGCGAAUCUGCAGAGACGCUUGAAAAGAUGAGAGAAACCCUUCUUUUAGAAAUAAGAAAAAAGAACAAUGAGGGCACAGUGGUAGCAAUGAUGGACAAGACCUUUGCACACAGAAGACAAGAAGUUAUUCGUGAUGCACCCUUGAUUGCUGAUUUCAAAACCAGAUGGCCGGCUGUCUUCUGUGUACGUGAGAGGAUUACAACCAUCAGUUUGCUGUCAAAGUUCUUCUCGAUGGUGGAUGCUCACUCUUCAAACCUGCUGAAGGUGCUUGGCAAGAAAGGC